Non-coding RNA from Acanthosepion pharaonis, 113 nucleotides. NCBI's taxonomy places the organism in Eukaryota, Metazoa, Mollusca, Cephalopoda, Sepiida, Sepiidae. The record is from the annotation of a GenBank genome assembly.
UUACGGCCACACAAUGUUGAAACAUCGGUUCCCGUACGAUCAACGAAGUUAAGCAACGUCGAGCCUGGUCAGUAACUAGAUGUAUAACCGUUUGGGAAUACCAAGUGAUGUAC